RNAcentral lists this long non-coding RNA (551 nucleotides) under Homo sapiens (human). RNAcentral describes it as "non-protein coding lnc-GATA5-7:1". Lineage: Eukaryota; Metazoa; Chordata; Mammalia; Primates; Hominidae. The record is from RNAcentral.
CCUGCACCCCUCUAGCCACAGAGGCAGCCGUGCUGGGGCCCUGCCAGCAGCUGAGUAAAACUGCUAAUGAAAUAGCACCGUUAAAAAUGGGCCUGCCGUCCACGCCAGAGUGCUUCGCUGGCCCCCAGCCCAGUGCUCCCUAGCACGGGGUCAGGGUGUGGGUCCCUACCUGGUGCUUGCCCUGUGCCCCUUCACCGUGGUGAUGCGGCCAGCUCUGUCCUCUUGGGACCCGUGACAAAUCAUCUUUUUGAUGGUGGUUGUCUCCUGACCUGUGGGCCUCACCCUACCUGAAUAACAAUGAAAGUUACAUUUUAAAAAUACCAGGUCACCUCCUCUGUUGAUAUGUUGUUUUAAUUAACAACUUCUAAACAACUCAUGAGUUCUUUUGGUUUUUUUGAGAUGGAGUCUUGCUCUGUCAGCCUGGCUGGAGUGCAGUGGCACAAUCUCGGCUCACUGCAACCUCUGCCUCCUGGGUUCAAAUGAUUCUUGUGCCUCAGCCUCCCGAGUAGCUGGGAUUACAGGUGUGGGCCACCAUGACCAGCUAAUUUUUG